This 3071-nucleotide ribosomal RNA is filed under the name Campylobacter jejuni. Its description in RNAcentral is "23S ribosomal RNA". It matches the Rfam family "Bacterial large subunit ribosomal RNA". Lineage: Bacteria; Pseudomonadati; Campylobacterota; Epsilonproteobacteria; Campylobacterales; Campylobacteraceae. The record is from RNAcentral.
AAAAAAGGUAAGCUACUAAGAGCGAAUGGUGGAUGCCUUGACUGGUAAAGGCGAUGAAGGACGUACUAGACUGCGAUAAGCUACGGGGAGCUGUCAAGAAGCUUUGAUCCGUAGAUUUCCGAAUGGGGCAACCCAAUGUAUAGAGAUAUACAUUACCUAUAUAGGAGCGAACGAGGGGAAUUGAAACAUCUUAGUACCCUCAGGAAAAGAAAUCAAUAGAGAUUGCGUCAGUAGCGGCGAGCGAAAGCGCAAGAGGGCAAACCCAGUGCUUGCACUGGGGGUUGUAGGACUGCAAUGUGCAAGAGGUAAGUUUAGCAGAACAUUCUGGAAAGUAUAACCAUAGAGGGUGAUAGUCCCGUAUGCGAAAAACAAACCUUAGCUAGCAGUAUCCUGAGUAGGGCGGGACACGAGGAAUCCUGUCUGAAUCCGGGUCGACCACGAUCCAACCCUAAAUACUAAUACCAGAUCGAUAGUGCACAAGUACCGUGAGGGAAAGGUGAAAAGAACUGAGGUGAUCAGAGUGAAAUAGAACCUGAAACCAUUUGCUUACAAUCAUUCAGAGCCCUAUGUAGCAAUACAGGGUGAUGGACUGCCUUUUGCAUAAUGAGCCUGCGAGUUGUGGUGUCUGGCAAGGUUAAGCAAACGCGAAGCCGUAGCGAAAGCGAGUCUGAAUAGGGCGCUUAGUCAGAUGCUGCAGACCCGAAACGAAGUGAUCUAUCCAUGAGCAAGUUGAAGCUAGUGUAAGAACUAGUGGAGGACUGAACCCAUAGGCGUUGAAAAGCCCCGGGAUGACUUGUGGAUAGGGGUGAAAGGCCAAUCAAACUUCGUGAUAGCUGGUUCUCUCCGAAAUAUAUUUAGGUAUAGCGUUGUGUCGUAAUAUAAGGGGGUAGAGCACUGAAUGGGCUAGGGCAUACACCAAUGUACCAAACCCUAUCAAACUCCGAAUACCUUAUAUGUAAUCACAGCAGUCAGGCGGCGAGUGAUAAAAUCCGUCGUCAAGAGGGAAACAACCCAGACUACCAGCUAAGGUCCCUAAAUCUUACUUAAGUGGAAAACGAUGUGAAGUUACUUAAACAACCAGGAGGUUGGCUUAGAAGCAGCCAUCCUUUAAAGAAAGCGUAAUAGCUCACUGGUCUAGUGAUUUUGCGCGGAAAAUAUAACGGGGCUAAAGUAAGUACCGAAGCUGUAGACUUGCACACAACUUAGAUUAUUUAAGUUUAGAAUAUGAGAAACUAAGUUAUAUGUUUAGUUAUAUUUUUACUGAUUUUUAUAGAGUAAAGAUAGAAAUAAAACUUAGUAAAAUCAGUAAAAAUAUUCUUAGACUAAAGUUAAGUAGUUUAAGUUGUGUGCAAGUGGUAGGAGAGCGUUCUAUUUGCGUCGAAGGUAUACCGGUAAGGAGUGCUGGAGCGAAUAGAAGUGAGCAUGCAGGCAUGAGUAGCGAUAAUUAAUGUGAGAAUCAUUAACGCCGUAAACCCAAGGUUUCCUACGCGAUGCUCGUCAUCGUAGGGUUAGUCGGGUCCUAAGUCGAGUCCGAAAGGGGUAGACGAUGGCAAAUUGGUUAAUAUUCCAAUACCAACAUUAGUGUGCGAUGGAAGGACGCUUAGGGCUAAGGGGGCUAGCGGAUGGAAGUGCUAGUCUAAGGUCGUAGGAGGUUAUACAGGCAAAUCCGUAUAACAAUACUCCGAGAACUGAAAGGCUUUUUGAAGUCUUCGGAUGGAUAGAAGAACCCCUGAUGCCGUCGAGCCAAGAAAAGUUUCUAAGUUUAGCUAAUGUUGCCCGUACCGUAAACCGACACAGGUGGGUGGGAUGAGUAUUCUAAGGCGCGUGGAAGAACUCUCUUUAAGGAACUCUGCAAAAUAGCACCGUAUCUUCGGUAUAAGGUGUGGUUAGCUUUGUAUUAGGAUUUACUCCGAAAGCAAGGAAACUUACAACAAAGAGUCCCUCCCGACUGUUUACCAAAAACACAGCACUCUGCUAACUCGUAAGAGGAUGUAUAGGGUGUGACGCCUGCCCGGUGCUCGAAGGUUAAUUGAUGGGGUUAGCAUUAGCGAAGCUCUUGAUCGAAGCCCGAGUAAACGGCGGCCGUAACUAUAACGGUCCUAAGGUAGCGAAAUUCCUUGUCGGUUAAAUAUCGACCUGCAUGAAUGGCGUAACGAGAUGGGAGCUGUCUCAAAGAGGGAUCCAGUGAAAUUGUAGUGGAGGUGAAAAUUCCUCCUACCCGCGGCAAGACGGAAAGACCCCGUGGACCUUUACUACAGCUUGACACUGCUACUUGGAUAAGAAUGUGCAGGAUAGGUGGGAGGCUUUGAGUAUAUGACGCCAGUUGUAUAUGAGCCAUUGUUGAGAUACCACUCUUUCUUAUUUGGGUAGCUAACCAGCUUGAGUUAUCCUCAAGUGGGACAAUGUCUGGUGGGUAGUUUGACUGGGGCGGUCGCCUCCCAAAUAAUAACGGAGGCUUACAAAGGUUGGCUCAGAACGGUUGGAAAUCGUUCGUAGAGUAUAAAGGUAUAAGCCAGCUUAACUGCAAGACAUACAAGUCAAGCAGAGACGAAAGUCGGUCUUAGUGAUCCGGUGGUUCUGUGUGGAAGGGCCAUCGCUCAAAGGAUAAAAGGUACCCCGGGGAUAACAGGCUGAUCUCCCCCAAGAGCUCACAUCGACGGGGAGGUUUGGCACCUCGAUGUCGGCUCAUCGCAUCCUGGGGCUGGAGCAGGUCCCAAGGGUAUGGCUGUUCGCCAUUUAAAGCGGUACGCGAGCUGGGUUCAGAACGUCGUGAGACAGUUCGGUCCCUAUCUGCCGUGGGCGUAAGAAGAUUGAAGAGAUUUGACCCUAGUACGAGAGGACCGGGUUGAACAAACCACUGGUGUAGCUGUUGUUCUGCCAAGAGCAUCGCAGCGUAGCUAAGUUUGGAAAGGAUAAACGCUGAAAGCAUCUAAGCGUGAAGCCAACUCUAAGAUGAAUCUUCUCUAAGCUCUCUAGAAGACUACUAGUUUGAUAGGCUGGGUGUGUAAUGGAUGAAAGUCCUUUAGCUGACCAGUACUAAUAGAGCGUUUGGCUUAUCUUUAAUAAAGCAU